GAUAAUAUUUAUUUUCUUACUAUGCUAGUAGUUGGUACUUAGGUUUAUCUAGUUUGUAUUUUUCCCUGGAGGGAAAAUAAUUUGGUCCUAGAGCAUAUUGGGUGGGGUGCUUGACGAAAUGUGAGUUAAAGAAUACAUCCUUUGGCAGAAGGGACACAUCUUACUAUUGAAAAUGUAAACUGAGUACUUAUGGGAUGGAAGAUGAGGGUUACUGGGGAGAAGAUUGAUUGGCACUCUUGGUAGUUGAUUCGCCCAUUGACUUUUUGCUUCUGUUUCUUGAUGUGCCUUUCUAGAAGCCAUUUGUUGCUGUUGGAUUACGAUUUCAGUGCUCCUACACUGCCUUCCUGGACAGUUAUUCCAUAGGUGGCAUUCACAUCAUCCAGACUCCUCCAUUGUCUUGCUUGUUUUUCGCCAUUAUACUUAGGGAAUGUUCUGGAAAUGCAACAUCCUGAGGUUAGGAGGGAGAUGCAUAGAACAUUCUAGGCUCAGUUCUAGCUUUUCAUAGAACAAGGUUUUCACCACAUUCUCACAGUCAGUAAUAUGACCAUGGAGACAUAAAUUCCAAUGCACUUUGCUUUUGGGGAACUUCUCAUCUGGUAUAAGUGGAACAGUCAAGGCCUCAUCUACUCCAGGAAGUUUUCUGGGCUAAGACUUAGAGCAAAUUCUUGACUUCUGUUGUGUCUUGCUGCCUAUCUGAAAGUAAUAAAACUGCUUCAUGUAAAUUCAUCUACAUGUGGGUAUUCUGUUUCAUCAGAUAGAUGAGUUGAUAAUCAGUACACAAUGAAAUGGCUUCAUACUUCCUGCUAUCUGAAGUCCUUAAGCAUGAGAAGGAAUGAUUGAUGGCGUGUGAGUGAGUGGUGCCUGUCAAAUCCACAAACAAGACUGCUGCAAUUCAUUGUUAGCUCGGCCAAGUUAACAAUGGUUGCACAGCGCAGGACCAAUUGGGCUUUAAACUAAAUCCCUAUUUCUGUGCAAACGGCUGAUUUGUUGACUCCUUCUAGAGUAAGGCUGGCUACAUGGAACCGUGAGAAGCUGAACUGUGGAGACAAGAACAGUAUUUUUUCCCCAAUGGUCAAGUUCUGUGGUGGCCUUCUGGAACAGAUUGAAUUACUUCCACAUCUUCUGAUUGAACACGUUUAUUUCCAAGCACCAAGAGCAACAGGAGCUCCUUCAGACUGUAUCAGCUUACAAGCCAGUGUGCAAAGACAGGAUGAAAAACCACAGGCUUAUGGGAUGCUUCCUGUAGGGGCCAAAUUGCUUGCCACUCUUGCUUCACCAAGCUGUCUAGAAAAACAUUUGGUUUCCAGAUGUUCAGUAUGACAGGACCCUUGUUCUUUUUCAG
RNAcentral lists this long non-coding RNA (1342 nucleotides) under Cricetulus griseus (Chinese hamster). RNAcentral describes it as "lncRNA (ENSCGRG00015031246.1)". The record is from RNAcentral. Lineage: Eukaryota; Metazoa; Chordata; Mammalia; Rodentia; Cricetidae.